RNAcentral lists this ribosomal RNA (732 nucleotides) under Triticum aestivum (bread wheat). RNAcentral describes it as "partial small subunit ribosomal RNA". Lineage: Eukaryota; Viridiplantae; Streptophyta; Magnoliopsida; Poales; Poaceae. The record is from RNAcentral.
AUGGUCUACAUUGUGGAUGACAUAUUUGAUCUUGUCGCCACACAAGAGGAGCUCUAUCUCUUUAAUGAGGCGAUCAAAAUGUGGGAUCUUGCAGCUGCUGAGUCACUGCCGAGUUACAUGAUAUCAUGUUACAAGGCUCUUUACACCAUCACAAAUGAUAUCGCUGAUAUGGUCAGAAAAGAGCAUGGAUUGAACCCUAUCAAUCAUCUCAAGCAAGCAUGGGCAACUUUGUUUGAUGGAUUCAUGAUCGAGGGAAAAUGGCUAUCUACUAAUCAGGUUCCUACAUCGGAGGACUACCUAAGAAAUGGUGUCAUCACUUCAGGAGCACCACUUUUAUUUAUGCAUCUUUUAUUCAUGCUUGGGCAUGAUUUAACGGAGGACAACAACGACCACAUCCUUAGGGUCAUCUCUUGCCCUGCAAAGAUCAUGAGGCUCUGGGAUGACAUGGGGAGUGCAAAGGAUGAGUUGCAGGAAGGGCUCGACGGAUCAUACAAGGAUUUGUACCAGAGAGAAAACCCUCAUGCUGAUGCGGAGAAGCACAUGUUGGAUAUGAUAGCGGGUGAAUGGGAGGAUCUAAACAGGGAAUGCUUCUCUCAGACAAAGUCCACACUACCACCUAGCUUCAUCGGGGCGUCUCUCAACUUUGCAAGGAUGGUCAGCAUCAUGUAUGGCUAUGACGACGAGCAGAAGCUCCCCGCCCUGGAGGAUUACACUAGGAUGUUGCUCUUUUGA